Molecule: ribosomal RNA, 602 nt
Filed under: Rhodosporidiobolus colostri
Lineage: Eukaryota; Fungi; Basidiomycota; Microbotryomycetes; Sporidiobolales; Sporidiobolaceae
Description: eukaryotic LSU rRNA
Rfam family: Eukaryotic large subunit ribosomal RNA
Source: RNAcentral
CGGAGGAAAAGAAACUAACAAGGAUUCCCCUAGUAGCGGCGAGCGAAGCGGGAAGAGCUCAAAUUUGUAAUCUGGCGCUUUCAGCGUCCGAGUUGUAAUCUCUAGAAAUGUUUUCCGCGUUGCACCGCACACAAGUCUGUUGGAAUACAGCGGCACAGUGGUGAGACCCCCGUUCAUGGUGCGGAUGCGCAAUGCUUUGUGAUACAUUUUCGAAGAGUCGAGUUGUUUGGGAAUGCAGCUCAAAUUGGGUGGUAAAUUCCAUCUAAAGCUAAAUAUUGGCGAGAGACCGAUAGCGAACAAGUACCGUGAGGGAAAGAUGAAAAGCACUUUGGAAAGAGAGUUAACAGUACGUGAAAUUGUUGGAAGGGAAACGCUUGAAGUCAGACUUGCUGUUCGGAGUUCAGCCGCAAGGUGUACUCUCCGAGUUGCAGGCCAGCAUCAGUUUUUCGGGGUGGAAAAUCACGGUUUGAAGGUAGCAGUUUCGGCUGUGUUAUAGCUUUCCGUUGGAUACAUCCUGGGGGACUGAGGAACGCAGUGUGCUUUUAGCAGGGGUUUCGACCUCUUCACACUUAGGAUGCUGGUAGAAUGGCUUUAAACGACCC